CGGGGUGUUAGCGGGGUUUUAUUGGCUCAGAGCAAUUCAGGAUAUUGCAAAAUACUUGACUGGGGGUCAAGGGGUCGGAGGUUCAAAUCCUCUCGUCCCGACCA
This 104-nucleotide transfer RNA is filed under the name Nitrospinota bacterium. RNAcentral's name for it is "tRNA-Pro". Lineage: Bacteria; Pseudomonadati; Nitrospinota. The record is from RNAcentral.